AGGUCAUUUCAAAGAGAGCUGUGGAACUGUGAAACCAAGAACUCUUAAUGCUAUGAUAAAAAAUUGAAGUUCUCCAUGGAAUGCAAUAGUCAUUCAAGAGUGCUAUGUUUUCCUCAGGACAAAUGUGA
Molecule: small nucleolar RNA, 128 nt
Organism: Microcebus murinus (gray mouse lemur)
Lineage: Eukaryota; Metazoa; Chordata; Mammalia; Primates; Cheirogaleidae
Source: Ensembl